This 497-nucleotide ribosomal RNA is filed under the name uncultured bacterium. RNAcentral describes it as "partial 16S ribosomal RNA". It matches the Rfam family "Bacterial small subunit ribosomal RNA", at positions 28 to 507 of the family's 1533-position model. The record is from RNAcentral.
GAUGAACGCUGGCGGCGUGCCUAAUACAUGCAAGUCGAGCGAACAGACGAGGAGCUUGCUCCUCUGACGUUAGCGGCGGACGGGUGAGUAACACGUGGAUAACCUACCUAUAAGACUGGGAUAACUUCGGGAAACCGGAGCUAAUACCGGAUAAUAUAUUGAACCGCAUGGUUCAAUAGUGAAAGACGGUUUUGCUGUCACUUAUAGAUGGAUCCGCGCCGCAUUAGCUAGUUGGUAAGGUAACGGCUUACCAAGGCAACGAUGCGUAGCCGACCUGAGAGGGUGAUCGGCCACACUGGAACUGAGACACGGUCCAGACUCCUACGGGAGGCAGCAGUAGGGAAUCGUCCGCAAUGGGCGAAAGCCUGACGGAGCAACGCCGCGUGAGUGAUGAAGGUCUUCGGAGCGUAAAACUCUGUUAUUAGGGAAGAACAAAUGUGUAAGUAACUAUGCACGUCUUGACGGUACCUAAUCAGAAAGCCACGGCUAACUACGUG